GGUCCGUUCGUAUAGGGGUUAGUACGCAAGAUUUUCAUUCUUGUAACACGGGUUCGAUUCCCGUACGGACUACAA
This 75-nucleotide transfer RNA is filed under the name Odoribacter laneus YIT 12061. RNAcentral describes it as "tRNA-Glu". It matches the Rfam family "tRNA". Rfam says of the family: Transfer RNA (tRNA) molecules are approximately 80 nucleotides in length. Their secondary structure includes four short double-helical elements and three loops (D, anti-codon, and T loops). Lineage: Bacteria; Pseudomonadati; Bacteroidota; Bacteroidia; Bacteroidales; Odoribacteraceae. The record is from RNAcentral. RNAcentral also lists the same sequence under 3 other names.